UGGGGGAUAUUGCACAAUGGGGGGGAACCCUGAUGCAGCGACGCCGCGUGAAGGAAGAAGUAUUUCGGUAUGUAAAACUUCUAUCAGCAGGGAAGAAAAUGACGGUACCUGACUAAGAAGCCCGGCUAACUACGUGCC
RNAcentral lists this ribosomal RNA (138 nucleotides) under uncultured bacterium. Its description in RNAcentral is "partial 16S ribosomal RNA". It matches the Rfam family "Bacterial small subunit ribosomal RNA", at positions 355 to 509 of the family's 1533-position model. The record is from RNAcentral.